Long non-coding RNA from Rhincodon typus (whale shark), 566 nucleotides. RefSeq lists it as uncharacterized. NCBI's taxonomy places the organism in Eukaryota, Metazoa, Chordata, Chondrichthyes, Orectolobiformes, Rhincodontidae. The record is from RefSeq and is a predicted model, not a curated record. The transcript is spliced from 3 exons.
GGCCCGGCAGAAAAUGGGGGACAGACGUAGUUUCUUGAGGCGCCAUCAUCUGCCUGUGCUGAGGCCCUGGGAAGGAAGCUACUGAUCAAGAAUACUGCAUCGGCGGACGUCCCUCACCGGCUCGGAAGUAUUUUGACAGGAGUAGCCGAUCAGUAUCUCCUCCGUCCCCACAGGGAGGAGAGAGUGAGCGGCGGAUCUUUGGCUCGAGUCCAGGGUUGCGGCCGCCAUUUUGUGGCGCUGUCGCCCCGACCGACGCGCGAGCGCAUGCGCCGCCAACGGAACCGAGGGAGAGGUCACGAACUCUGACCCGCGGCGGAGCCGAGAAUCCGGGGGGAGGGGGGAAAAGGUUCGGGGCUUUUCCGCCCCGUUUGAAAAUAACGUCUCAGCAACCUGAAAUGGGAACGAUUAAACCAUAGAGGGAUUUGAACACAAGGAGGUUGUGGACUUCUUUGUUCUUGAUGGUGUUGGGUUCCUCAAGUGUUGUUGAAGCUGGACUCAUCCAGAUUAGUAGGGUGUCAUUCAUCUGAAGUGUUGGGCUGGAGAAGGAAGGAUAUAAAACGGUAAGC